GGUGGGACUACCCGCUGAACUUAA
RNAcentral lists this ribosomal RNA (24 nucleotides) under Rhizopus homothallicus. RNAcentral describes it as "partial 28S ribosomal RNA". Lineage: Eukaryota; Fungi; Mucoromycota; Mucoromycetes; Mucorales; Rhizopodaceae. The record is from RNAcentral.